CUGGUGUCAGUGACAGUGAUGACACAGCAGACUACAAGAGCGCAAAGGCCUCAGUCAGACCAUCUGAUGCGUCUGACAAUGAACUGGAAGAACCACUGUUCACCAUUGGUCACUUUUCUCCUAAGAAGGAGGAGAUGAGUCCAGAAGACUUGCGUCUAGUACGCAGAUCUGAAAGAGCCACAAAGGGCAGACCUCCAAAGAGAUUUGCUGAUGAGUUUGCUAAGACAGCAACUGCUGUUCUUAGUAGCUCAGAGAAGGUGUGGGAACCUUCAAGCUUCAAAGAGGUUCAGGAGUUAACCUCUAAAGAUGCUGAGCCUUGGCUUAAUGCCAUGAAGGCUGAAGUUGAUUCCUUGAAUAGGAACCAAACUUGGGAACUGGUACCGGUAGUCCCAGGAAUGAGACUGGUUGGCAGCAAAUGGGUCUUCAAGGCCAAGACAGACCAGAAUGGCAAGGUUGUCAGACACAAAGCCAGAUUGGUUGCCAGAGGUUUUUCACAGGUACCAGGACAGGAUUACCACGAGACCUACUCACCCACCGUCAAAUAUGAGAGCAUUCGGCUGAUGCUCAAGAUAGCUGCAGAGGAGAAACUGCAUGUUUCCCAUCAUGACAUUAAUACAGCUUUUUUGUACGGGAUUUUGGGGGAGGAGCUGUUUAUGCUUCCACCUGAUGGGAUGCAGAUACAGAAGGGAAUGGUCUGUAAACUGCGGAAAUCCUUAUAUGGUCUCAAGCAGAGUGCCAGGUGUUGGAACACAAAACUCACUGAGACAUUGCUUUCUCUAGGUUUUCACCAGGGCAAAGCUGAUCCAUGUGUGUUUGUCAAGGAGGAGGGGCAAAACAAACUGUAUUGUUUAUGUUUUGUUGAUGAUCUUCUGAUGUUUUGGAAGAAUCAGGCUUUCUACCAAAGCACCCUAGCUCAGCUGAAGGAGCACUUUGACAUGAAGGAUCUUGGUGAGGUAUCCAACUAUCUUUCUCUGCAGGUGGAGAGGGACCAAGCAGGUAAUUUUCUGGUACACCAAACACAGAAAAUUGCUGAUGUAUUAACCAGGUUGAAUUUGGUUGAUGCAAACCCAGCAGACACACCGAUGGUGACAGGUUACCAGGUAGAUAGUACUGCUGAAGCGUUUUCUGACACAACGCUGUACAGAUGCAUUCUAGGCAAGUUGAAUUUCAUUGCUAGAUGCUCAAGACCUGACAUAGCUGUAAGCUGUAACCUGCUUAGCAGACAUGCCAACAAUCCUACUGUUCAGGAUUGGAAAGCUCUGAAGCGCAUAGCCCGCUAUUUGAAAGGGACUAUGCACUACAGGCUGAGGUUCACCAGUCAGAAGACUGGAGGUCUUGAAAUCUUUGCAGAUGCAAGUUUUGGAAGUGACACCACGGAUGGUACAAGCACUUCUGGAGUAUGCUACAUGUACAACCACUGCCUGUUUGACUGGUUGUGCAAAAGCAGACGACAGUGAGCCUAAGUUCCUGUGAAGCAGAACUCAAUGCUCUGUCAUUUUCACUCAUGGAUUGUGAAUGGUUGAUGCAACUGUUUAAGGACAUCAGAGUUUCUGUGAAAUGUCCUGUACAAGUGUAUCAAGACAAUAGAUCGUGUUUGGCUUUGCUGAACUCGGAGAGUUGCAAGCAAAGGACCAAGUACUUGCAGAUUAAGCUACAUCGUGCAAGGGAGUGUAUUCAGAAAGGACUCAUUCAGGUGUCCUACAUGCCAGGAAAUGAAAUUCCUGCUGAUCUGUUGUCUAAGGUUGUUAACAGAGAACAACUUAAGGUUUACGUACAAAGGUUGCAAUUGGGUUGAACCACAGGUACUACAGGUUACACGGAAAGGGGAGGAUGUUAGGAUAUUUCCGUUCCACCUUAAAAGGGAGCAGGCUUUGUGAGUCAGAGUCUGCGUAUUUCCUGUUCACAGGAUGUUUAUGUUUUCUGUUGCUUUCGUUUUCUCUCUGGUGUCGCAGACACUAAAGCAGGCAGUCAUGUUUUUCUGUGUUCUGAUCAACGCUGAAUAAACUUGUAAAUAAUGC
This 2018-nucleotide long non-coding RNA is filed under the name Podarcis lilfordi (Lilford's wall lizard). Lineage: Eukaryota; Metazoa; Chordata; Lepidosauria; Squamata; Lacertidae. The record is from RNAcentral.